This 838-nucleotide long non-coding RNA is filed under the name Anas platyrhynchos platyrhynchos (common mallard). Its description in RNAcentral is "lncRNA (ENSAPLG00000026284.1)". Lineage: Eukaryota; Metazoa; Chordata; Aves; Anseriformes; Anatidae. The record is from RNAcentral.
CAAAGAAUUAGUCCAGGCUACCAGCUACAAAGGGGCUGCAGACCCUGAACACCAGCUGCACAUACUUGACCGAAACUACUGACAUUGAUUUAGGGAACAAAUGUGAAAACACAACCUUGGACACAGUUCUCUCUGAUAUUUUCACUAUUUUAAAAUAUCUCAAACCCACAUGAUGUAAAUAUUCCUUCUUGUUAUAGCCUACUUUUAAUUCAUUUUUGAGAUAACUUGCAACCAGGCUUGCCUUUUUUUCUCCCUCUGUUUUCUCAGGGAAAGUAAAUCUGAAAGGGUGAAGUGCACUGAAGAAGGAACAUAAAUGUCCAAGGAACUUGAAGAAGUGCCUUCUCACACCUGGAAGAGCAACUUCCAGAAGCAGGCUAAUUCCUCAUGUGGUGCACUUCAGUAGCCCUGAAAUGCUGAGACAGACACUAUUUGAGACACCCAUGUGGCCACAGACUGGCACCUCAGCAAGGCAUGGAUUUGCCCUAGCCCUUAGGUCAUUCCCACAGUGCUAUAAGGCUGUUCCUGACACCCACGGCCAUCUCAGCACAGCCCACCUGCAUCUUUCAGAUGGACCUACAUGCAGAAGAGGACUGCAAAUGAACUGCCAAAUGCCAAAAGAAAAAAGAAGAAGAAGAAGAAAAGAAAAAGCAAAGCAAUCCUUUGCAUUCUCAAGUGUUAAAUUUGCUUGCCCAUUCAUGCUGUAUAUAAUAUUUCACUAACAGAAGGCUGCCAGGUCAGCAGGACACACUCUUGCCUGAGUACAAUGAACCAUUACAAGAAGUACAAAUUAUUACUAUUAUUUCUUUUGUUUCAUAAUAAAAAAGAGAGAAACCCAUGU